RNAcentral lists this long non-coding RNA (225 nucleotides) under Cavia porcellus (domestic guinea pig). Its description in RNAcentral is "lncRNA (ENSCPOG00000035660.1)". Lineage: Eukaryota; Metazoa; Chordata; Mammalia; Rodentia; Caviidae. The record is from RNAcentral.
CUUCAUUCCCGCAGUGGCCUCAGAGAUGGCCCUGCUGUCCAUGUACCCAUUUCGUAAGAGAGAGGUUAACAGCGCAGACUUGCAGAGCUGGACCACAAAGGUUCUGGAAUUGUGGUUGGCCUCAGCAGAGACUGUGACAGUCAUUCAAGAGAGAUUCUGCGUAGAGCACUCCUGUGGCUGUGGUCUGCACCCUCGGCUUCUUUUUCUCCUGUCCUUUUACCCGAG